RNAcentral lists this unclassified non-coding RNA (305 nucleotides) under plant metagenome. Its description in RNAcentral is "partial contains 5.8S ribosomal RNA, internal transcribed spacer 2, and large subunit ribosomal RNA". The stretch from base 1 to 105 matches the Rfam family "5.8S ribosomal RNA", at positions 50 to 154 of the family's 154-position model. The record is from RNAcentral.
GAAAUGCGAUAAGUAGUGUGAAUUGCAGAAUUCAGCGAAUCAUCGAAUCUUUGAACGCACAUUGCGCCCUUUGGUAUUCCUUAGGGCAUGCCUGUUCGAGCGUCAUCUAAACCUUCAAGCCCUGCUUGGUGUUGGGUGCCUGUCCCGCCUCCGCGCGCGGACUCACCUCAAAUCCAUUGGCGGCCCCCGCGUCGGCCACGAGCGCAGCAGAAACGCGAACUCGUGAGCCCGUCCGGGCGGCUCCCAGAAGCUACACCCACCCAGUUUGACCUCGGAUCAGGUAGGGAUACCCGCUGAACUUAAGC